This 239-nucleotide unclassified non-coding RNA is filed under the name Leotiomycetes sp. RNAcentral's name for it is "partial contains 5.8S ribosomal RNA, internal transcribed spacer 2, and large subunit ribosomal RNA". The record is from RNAcentral. Lineage: Eukaryota; Fungi; Ascomycota; Leotiomycetes.
CGCAUAUUGCACCUUAGAGUAUUCUUUAAGGUAUACCUGUUUGAGCGUCGUUUAGAACAUAAAGCAUUGCUUUUUGUUAGAUUUUGGUUAGCUAGUAACCAAUUUCUUAAACAAAGUGGCAUCGAUUUAUUGAUUAAUACACAGCGAAAUGUGUACUUGUUGAUCAAAUUGGUUUGCCAGUUGAUGAAUAUAUCUUGUUGUUCGACCUCAAAUCAAGUAAGGCUACCCGCUGAACUUAA